RNAcentral lists this ribosomal RNA (250 nucleotides) under uncultured archaeon. RNAcentral's name for it is "partial 16S ribosomal RNA". It matches the Rfam family "Bacterial small subunit ribosomal RNA", at positions 524 to 772 of the family's 1533-position model. The record is from RNAcentral.
CACGUAGGGGGCAAGCGUUGUCCGGAUUUAUUGGGCGUAAAGAGCUCGUAGGCGGUUCGGUAAGUUGGGUGUGAAACCUCCAGGCUCAACCUGGAGACGCCACCCGAUACUGCUGUGACUAGAGUCCGGUAGGGGAGCGUGGAAUUCCUGGUGUAGCGGUGAAAUGCGCAGAUAUCAGGAGGAACACCAGCGGCGAAGGCGGCGCUCUGGGCCGGAACUGACGCUGAGGAGCGAAAGCGUGGGUAGCAAA